Non-coding RNA from Caenorhabditis elegans, 144 nucleotides. Lineage: Eukaryota; Metazoa; Nematoda; Chromadorea; Rhabditida; Rhabditidae. The record is from Ensembl.
UUAAGGCUUAGGCUUUGGCUUGGGCUUAGGCUUACGCUUAGGCUUAGGCUUAGGUUUAGGCUUAGGCACAUGCUUAGGUUUAGGCUUAGGCUUAGGCUUUGGCUUGGGUUUAGGCUUAGGCUUAGGCUUAGGCUGAAUCUUAAG